This 63-nucleotide transfer RNA is filed under the name Daphnia carinata. RNAcentral describes it as "tRNA-His". Lineage: Eukaryota; Metazoa; Arthropoda; Branchiopoda; Diplostraca; Daphniidae. The record is from RNAcentral.
AUUAUUAUAGUUUAAAAAAAAUUCAGGUUUGUGGUACCUGAGAUGUAGGCUUUACUAAUAAUC